GUUUCCAUUCAACUGCGUUACGGUACUAUUUAUAGCACUGUGGAUUAACAAAUGAGUCAUCCUGCCAAUAAUAUUCCAGCUGAAUAACAAUAACUAUUCCACAUGCUUAUUUCUGUUUUUUUUUUUUUUUAAUUUAUUUUCUUGUUUGUUUGCUUUCAAAAAGCUUUUUCUGGGUGGAAUCCUAUUGUUUAUGUAAGCGUUAACCAAAUACGUAAAUAAAUAACAGUGCAAAAAACUUUGAAUUUUGUUGUUGUGGAUUUUUUUUUUUGGUUGUUUUCUUUUGUUUUGUUUUUCAGGACCAAGUGAACUGCAUAAUUCAGGAGCAGGCUGCAGUGGCUUUCCUGAGACAGAUACAUGCAAUUGUGAAGAAUCAUUAAAUAACUGUUAACCACACCUGCACAGAGCCUCUGGCAAUGCUGGCUUACACAGAAACUCAAGAACUGCCAUGUGCCUGACAUCAUACCUUUGGAAGAAAAGAGAAGUCCUGGGUGUUAGCCCAAGACUGGUGAGUAAAACAUAGUCCACGGACUAGAGUCAGUUUAUGUUUGUUAGUGAUUUUCAGGCCUGUCACACCCAGUAUCUUCGCCCUGUAAAUCUGUCAC
RNAcentral lists this long non-coding RNA (602 nucleotides) under Numida meleagris (helmeted guineafowl). RNAcentral describes it as "lncRNA (ENSNMEG00000004692.1)". Lineage: Eukaryota; Metazoa; Chordata; Aves; Galliformes; Numididae. The record is from RNAcentral.